RNAcentral lists this ribosomal RNA (402 nucleotides) under bacterium. RNAcentral's name for it is "partial 16S ribosomal RNA". It matches the Rfam family "Bacterial small subunit ribosomal RNA", at positions 355 to 776 of the family's 1533-position model. The record is from RNAcentral.
UGGGGAAUUUUGCACAAUGGGGGAAACCCUGAUGCAGCGACGCCGCGUGAUUUAGAAGGCCUUCGGGUUGUAAAAAUCUUUUUUACGGGAUGAAAAUGACAGUACCGUAAGAAUAAGGUCCGGCUAAAUACGUGCCAGCAGCCGCGGUAAUACGUAUGGACCGAGCGUUGUCCGGAAUCAUUGGGCAUAAAGGGUACGUAGGCGGCCUAGUAAGUUAGAAGUGAAAUAAUAUAGCUCAACUAUAUAAAGCUUUUAAAACUGCUAGGCUUGAGAGAUGGAAGGGAAAGUGGAAUUCCUAGUGUAGCGGUGAAAUGCGCAGAUAUUAGGAAGAAUACCGGUGGCGAAGGCGACUUUCUGGUCAUCAUCUGACGCUGAGGUACGAAAGCGUGGGUAGCAAACAGG